CCCAUUCGUGCUUCAUACGGAAGGUGUAGAAUCAUAUGCUGCAUUGGAUUGAAGAAGCCUGGAGGAAAGAUCUUCUCCAACUUACAGAGCAACACAGGCGCCAUUGUUUCCAUUUCUGCAACCACGGUACGAGAUAACUCCUUCGCACAAAGCCGGCGGAAGAAAUUGCUCAACUCCGCUAGCACCUGCCACACAUGCUCAGGGACAUAGCCUCGAACCAUCACCGGAAGUAGGCGCUCAAGCCAUAUAUGGUAAUCAUGACUCUUGAGCCCGUUGAUUUGCAUAGUUGCUAAAUUCACUCCCCUCUUCAAGUUCGCUGCAUAGCCAUCAGGGAACAUUAACGUUUGGAACCAUUCUAGAACCUCCCUCCUUUGGGCCCUCGUCAGAACGAAAUCGGCCUUAGGCUUCCUCCAUGACUUGC
This 421-nucleotide long non-coding RNA is filed under the name Setaria viridis. RNAcentral describes it as "long non-coding RNA (SVIR_LNC003650)". Lineage: Eukaryota; Viridiplantae; Streptophyta; Magnoliopsida; Poales; Poaceae. The record is from RNAcentral.